RNAcentral lists this long non-coding RNA (402 nucleotides) under Salvia miltiorrhiza (redroot sage). RNAcentral describes it as "long non-coding RNA (SMIL_LNC011761)". The record is from RNAcentral. Lineage: Eukaryota; Viridiplantae; Streptophyta; Magnoliopsida; Lamiales; Lamiaceae.
AGAAAUGCUCUUAUUUUAGCUCUCCCCUAUAUAUAUAUAUAUAUAGAGGUAAUAGAUUAUAAAUAGAUUAAAUCACAUGGACUUUGUGUUAGAAAAUAUGUGUAGAAAACCUUGGUAACAAAAGUUUAAUAAGAACUGAGACUAAAGUUAAACUCUAUCUCUACAAGACAAAAUCUCUACUAUAGUGCAUGCAGUUCUACAGCCUUUAUCCAGUUCGCACCAUUCGGCAUAGAAAAUUGAGUUAGCCAUAAAUAGCUAAUUAAAAAAAAUUGCGAGAGAUUAUUCUUUAAAAAAAAAAAAACAGUAGAGUUUCCCUCAAAAAACAAACACAAAACACUGGAGUGCUUCUUAGCGGAGCACAUUUGAUGACUCUAUAAUGAUGUGGUGCAUCUUUCAAAAGCA